This 567-nucleotide ribosomal RNA is filed under the name Papiliotrema laurentii. RNAcentral's name for it is "partial large subunit ribosomal RNA". It matches the Rfam family "Eukaryotic large subunit ribosomal RNA", at positions 81 to 637 of the family's 3401-position model. The record is from RNAcentral. Lineage: Eukaryota; Fungi; Basidiomycota; Tremellomycetes; Tremellales; Rhynchogastremaceae.
UAGUAACGGCGAGUGAACCGGGAAGAGCUCAAAUUUGAAAUCUGGCGUCCUCAGGGCGUCCGAGUUGUAAUCUAUAGAGGCGUUUUCCGUGCCGGACCGUGUCCAAGUUCCUUGGAACAGGAUAUCAAAGAGGGUGACAAUCCCGUACUUGACACGACGACCGGUGCUCUGUGAUACGUCUUCUACGAGUCGAGUUGUUUGGGAAUGCAGCUCAAAAUGGGUGGUGAGUUCCAUCUAAAGCUAAAUAUUGGCGAGAGACCGAUAGCGAACAAGUACCGUGAGGGAAAGAUGAAAAGCACUUUGGAAAGAGAGUUAAACAGUACGUGAAAUUGUUGAAAGGGAAACGAUUGAAGUCAGUCGUGACCGAGAGGCUCAGCCGGUUCUGCCGGUGUAUUCCCCUCGGUCGGGUCAACAUCAGUUUUGUCCGGUGGAUAAGGGCAGUAGGAAGGUGGCACCCUCGGGUGUGUUAUAGCCUGCCGUCGCAUACAUCGGGUGAGACUGAGGGACGCAGCUCGCCUUUAUGGCCGGGGUUCGCCCCACGUCCGAGCUUAGGAUGUGACAUAAUGC